Long non-coding RNA from Maylandia zebra (zebra mbuna), 1271 nucleotides. RefSeq lists it as uncharacterized. NCBI's taxonomy places the organism in Eukaryota, Metazoa, Chordata, Actinopteri, Cichliformes, Cichlidae. The record is from RefSeq and is a predicted model, not a curated record.
AGACGGCAGACAUGUUGCAGCUGAUUGAAUCAUGCUGGAGUGAAACCAAGUCUUCUGUGAUACAAGAUCAGAGGAGUGAGCCAGGCCUUGAGCUGCCAAUGGAGGAUGUGAAGUCAAGCCAGGGGGCCAAGGCCACUGUCAGCUCUCUCAGUGGUUAGAAUAACCCAAUAAAUUCUGCAGGGAACUGGGCUGGGACUGGACCAGUGCUGGCAAAGAGUAUCAGUGAGAGACACUGUUGCCCUUUCUCCCAAUACAUCCCGUCUUUUUUCCCUCUGCCCCCCUCCCCUUCCCUCCCAAUCUUCUCACCCUCAUCUGGUUGAUUUUGGACAACAGCAUGCCAUCAUCAGCAGCCACCACCACCACAGGUACGGAUUCAUGGCGGCAAGGACCAGCAGGAUUCUGGGAGGGAAUUUGUGAGAUGAAGCUUUAAUGAGAGCGAGGCCUCGUCAGCCUGGAAGAAAUGUAUGCUAAUGAUAUGCACACACCAAAAGGACCCUGGGUAGGCAAGGCAAGUGCUGGCCGAGCUCCCGCUGAGCUCUGAGGAAGAUGAGCAGCUCAGGUCAGAAGAAUAGCAACAAAAACGCCUCCUCCUCCUUUUCUUCUUCCCUUUUCUUCAAUCCGCAUCCAAAAGGGCAGAGAAAAACUGGUUAACUUAAACCCUUAGAAAUGAGGUUGUGUUGCCACAUGAUGCUGCUGUUGAUGUAUUUUAGUUUCUGGAUUUCUCAUUUUUUUCCUUUUUCUUCAUCUUUGCAAGCACAUUGACAUUGUGGGUUGAAUUAGCUGGAGAUUAAACACAUCUGUGGUUUACAUCCAGACUUUCCAGAAUUUUAACUGUCAUAAAUAAUGACAGUUAAAAAUGAAAUUGUGCUCCAGAGAGAUGCAAUGUGUGUCCUCUAAUUGUGCUCAAAGUUGUCUUUAAUAAUAGAAAAAUUGAUAUUAAUUUGUUUUGAUACUUCAUUUAGAAAUUUAAACUCACCACACCCCUAGUUAAUAAUGGUGUAUGGGCAGUAUUUAAAUGAAAUGACCUGUUUUCAUUCAGGAAUAAAGUGUAUUUGUUAUUAAUUAAGGAAAGAUGCUUGUUACUGGAAAUAAUGUUGCUAAAUGCAAUUUAUAUUUAUUUCAGUGUUAUCAAGUAUGUUUCAGUUACUGAUUCACAUGCAUUUUGUUUUUAUUAUAUAUUUUAGUGCCAAACUUUUAAUUUAUCCUGAAAUUAUGCUUGAAUUAAUAAAUAAGCCAUGUAUUUUGUAGUAGCCUUUAUUAAAUAAAUGAAU